This 69-nucleotide transfer RNA is filed under the name Barbus plebejus ssp. t FP-2019. RNAcentral's name for it is "tRNA-Pro". It matches the Rfam family "tRNA". Rfam says of the family: Transfer RNA (tRNA) molecules are approximately 80 nucleotides in length. Lineage: Eukaryota; Metazoa; Chordata; Actinopteri; Cypriniformes; Cyprinidae. The record is from RNAcentral.
CAGAAAAUAGUUUAAUAUAAAAUUCUGGCUUUGGGAGCCAGUGGUGAGAGUUAAAAUCUCUCUUUCUGG